GUGGCCACAGCGGGAUGACGGGGCCGACGAUGUGACCAUCGUCGCUGGUCGUUGUCGGUGUCGAUGCUGCUCGGGCGCCUUCUAAUCUCUAGGUCGUAGGUUCGAGUCCUACCGGGGGCACCA
RNAcentral lists this transfer RNA (123 nucleotides) under Halosaccharopolyspora lacisalsi. RNAcentral describes it as "Saccharopolyspora lacisalsi tRNA-Leu". The record is from RNAcentral. Lineage: Bacteria; Bacillati; Actinomycetota; Actinomycetes; Pseudonocardiales; Pseudonocardiaceae.